Molecule: ribosomal RNA, 569 nt
Filed under: uncultured bacterium
Lineage: Bacteria
Description: partial 16S ribosomal RNA
Rfam family: Bacterial small subunit ribosomal RNA
Source: RNAcentral
UGGGGAAUAUUGCACAAUGGGCGCAAGCCUGAUGCAGCCAUGCCGCGUGUGUGAAGAAGGCCUUCGGGUUGUAAAGCACUUUCAGCGAGGAGGAAGGUGGUGAGCUUAAUACGCUCAUCAAUUGACGUUACUCGCAGAAGAAGCACCGGCUAACUCCGUGCCAGCAGCCGCGGUAAUACGGAGGGUGCAAGCGUUAAUCGGAAUUACUGGGCGUAAAGCGCACGCAGGCGGUUUGUUAAGUCAGAUGUGAAAUCCCCGGGCUCAACCUGGGAACUGCAUUUGAAACUGGCAAGCUAGAGUCUCGUAGAGGGGGGUAGAAUUCCAGGUGUAGCGGUGAAAUGCGUAGAGAUCUGGAGGAAUAUCGGUGGCGAAGGCGGCCCCCUGGACGAAGACUGACGCUCAGGUGCGAAAGCGUGGGGCAGCAAACAGGAUUAGAUACCCUGGUAGUCCAGCGCUGUAAACGAUGUCGAUUUGGAGGUUGUGCCCUUGAGGCGUGGCUUCCGGAGCUAACGCGUUAAAUCGACCGCCUGGGGAGUACGGCCGCAAGGUUAAAACUCAAAUGAAUUGAC